Molecule: transfer RNA, 58 nt
Filed under: Cricetulus griseus (Chinese hamster)
Lineage: Eukaryota; Metazoa; Chordata; Mammalia; Rodentia; Cricetidae
Rfam family: tRNA
About the family: Transfer RNA (tRNA) molecules are approximately 80 nucleotides in length.
Source: Rfam by way of RNAcentral
UGGCUCAGUUGGUGGAGUGCUUGCCUCAUAUGCAUGAGGCCCUGUGUUCAAACCGCAG